AGUGGCGAAAGGGUGAGUAACGGAUAGGUAGCGUGCCCUAUGCUUUGGGAUAGCGUCUCCCGACUUGUCGGGAUUCCGAAAGGGGCGGUAAUACCGAAUAAUAUCACUUGUCGAUGGACAAAUGAUCAAAGAUUUAUCGGCAAAGGAGCGGCCUAUCUCCUAUCAGCUUGUUGGUGAGGUAAAAGCUCACCAAGGCUUUGACGGGUAGCGGGACUGAGAGGUUGGCCCGCCACAUCGGGACUGAGACACUGCCCGGACCUCCACGGAGGGCUGCAGUAACGAAUCUUGCGCAAUGGGCUAAAGCCUGACGCAGCGACGCCGCGUGCGGGAGGAAGUCCCUCGGGAUGUAAACCGCUGUCAGAGGUAAGAAAGUUCACUUCGGUGGAUUGAUCGAGCCCACAGGAAGUCACGGCUAACUUCGUGCCAGCAGCCGCGGUAAGACGAAGGUGGCGAGCGUUGUUCGGUGUUACUGGGCUUAAAGCGUAUGUAGGCGGAAAAGUAAGCGUUUUGUGAAAUCCCUCGGCUUAACCGAGGAAUUGCUUGGCGAACUGCUUUUCUUGAGGCAAGUAGGGGUGCAUGGAACUCUUGGUGGAGCGGUGGAAUGCGUAGAUAUCAAGAGGAACGCCGAUGGAGAAAUCAGUGCACUGGGC
This 650-nucleotide ribosomal RNA is filed under the name uncultured bacterium. RNAcentral describes it as "bacterial SSU rRNA". It matches the Rfam family "Bacterial small subunit ribosomal RNA", at positions 94 to 734 of the family's 1533-position model. The record is from RNAcentral.